GAUGAACGCUGGCGGCGUGCCUAAUACAUGCAAGUCGAGCGAACAGACGAGGAGCUUGCUCCUCUGACGUUAGCGGCGGACGGGUGAGUAACACGUGGAUAACCUACCUAUAAGACUGGGAUAACUUCGGGAAACCGGAGCUAAUACCGGAUAAUAUAUUGAACCGCAUGGUUCAAUAGUGAAAGACGGUUUUGCUGUCACUUAUAGAUGGAUCCGCGCCGCAUUAGCUAGUUGGUAAGGUAACGGCUUACCAAGGCAACGAUGCGUAUCCGACCUGAGAGGGUGAUCGGCCACACUGGAACUGAGACACGGUCCAGACUCCUACGGGAGGCAGCAGAAGGGAAUCUUCCGCAAUGGGCGAAAGCCUGACGGAGCAACGCCGCGUGAGUGAUGAAGGUCUUCGGAUCGUAAAACUCUGUUAUUAGGGAAGAACAAAUGUGUAAGUAACUAUGCACGUCUUGACGGUACCUAAUCAGAAAGCCACGGCUAACUACGUG
RNAcentral lists this ribosomal RNA (497 nucleotides) under uncultured bacterium. Its description in RNAcentral is "partial 16S ribosomal RNA". It matches the Rfam family "Bacterial small subunit ribosomal RNA", at positions 28 to 507 of the family's 1533-position model. The record is from RNAcentral.